AGCUCAAUUGGAUAGAGCUUGUGGCUGUUAACCACAAGGUCGGAGGUUCUACCACUCCUUC
Molecule: transfer RNA, 61 nt
Filed under: Physcomitrium patens
Lineage: Eukaryota; Viridiplantae; Streptophyta; Bryopsida; Funariales; Funariaceae
Description: Physcomitrella patens tRNA
Rfam family: tRNA
About the family: Transfer RNA (tRNA) molecules are approximately 80 nucleotides in length. Their secondary structure includes four short double-helical elements and three loops (D, anti-codon, and T loops).
Source: Rfam by way of RNAcentral